AAAAAAUUAGUUAAUACUUAUAACAUUAAUUUGUCAAAUUAAAGUAAAUAAAUUUUUUUAUUAUUUUUUU
Molecule: transfer RNA, 70 nt
Filed under: Philotrypesis tridentata
Lineage: Eukaryota; Metazoa; Arthropoda; Insecta; Hymenoptera; Pteromalidae
Description: tRNA-Asp
Source: RNAcentral